GCGAACGCUGGCGGCAGGCUUAACACAUGCAAGUCGAGCGGGCAUCCUUGUGGUGUCAGCGGCAGACGGGUGAGUAACGCGUGGGAACGUGCCCUUCGGUUCGGAAUAACUCAGGGAAACUUGAGCUAAUACCGGAUACGUGCGAGAGCAGAAAGGUUUAUCUGCCGAAGGAUCGGCCCGCGUCUGAUUAGCUAGUUGGUGAGGUUAUGGCUCACCAAGGCGACGAUCAGUAGCUGGUCUGAGAGGAUGAUCAGCCACACUGGGACUGAGACACGGCCCAGACUCCUACGGGAGGCAGCAGUGGGGAAUAUUGGACAAUGGGGGCAACCCUGAUCCAGCCAUGCCGCGUGAGUGAUGACGGCCUUAGGGUUGUAAAGCUCUUUUCUCCGGGACGAUAAUGACGGUACCGGAGGAAUAAGCCCCGGCUAACUUCGU
RNAcentral lists this ribosomal RNA (435 nucleotides) under uncultured bacterium. RNAcentral's name for it is "partial 16S ribosomal RNA". It matches the Rfam family "Bacterial small subunit ribosomal RNA", at positions 29 to 506 of the family's 1533-position model. The record is from RNAcentral.